RNAcentral lists this ribosomal RNA (509 nucleotides) under uncultured bacterium. Its description in RNAcentral is "partial 16S ribosomal RNA". It matches the Rfam family "Bacterial small subunit ribosomal RNA", at positions 28 to 523 of the family's 1533-position model. The record is from RNAcentral.
GACGAACGCUGGCGGCGUGCCCAACACAUGCAAGUUGAGCGACGAACCAGGGCUUGCCCUGGGGCAAAGCAGCGAACGGGCGAGUAACACGUGGGUAACCUACCCCGAUAACCGGGACAACCCGAGGAAACUCGGGCUAAUACCGGAAGUGCUCACUGGACUUCGGUUCAGUGCGUAAAGGAAGCUUUGGCCUUCGCAUCGGGACGGGCCCGCGGCCCAUUAGCUUGGUGGUGAGGUAACGGCUUACCAAGGCUUCGAUGGGUAGCUGGUCUGAGAGAACGAUCAGCCACACUGGGACUGAGACACGGCCCAGACUCCUACGGGAGGCAGCAGUGGGGAAUCUUGCGCAAUGGGCGAAAGCCUGACGCAGCAACGCCGCGUGGGGGAAGAAGGCCUUCGGGUUGUAAACCCCUUUCAGUUGGGACGAAGCUUCCAGGGUUAAUAGCUUUGUGGAGUGACGGUACCUUCAGAAGAAGCCCCGGCUAACUACGUGCCAGCAGCCGCAGUAA